This 460-nucleotide ribosomal RNA is filed under the name uncultured bacterium. RNAcentral describes it as "partial 16S ribosomal RNA". It matches the Rfam family "Bacterial small subunit ribosomal RNA", at positions 338 to 795 of the family's 1533-position model. The record is from RNAcentral.
CCUACGGGAGGCAGCAGUGAGGAAUAUUGGUCAAUGGACGAGAGUCUGAACCAGCCAAGUAGCGUGAAGGAUGACUGCCCUAUGGGUUGUAAACUUCUUUUAUCUGGGAAUAAAAUGCUCCACGUGUGGGAUUCUGUAUGUACCAUAUGAAUAAGCAUCGGCUAACUCCGUGCCAGCAGCCGCGGUAAUACGGAGGAUCCGAGCGUUAUCCGGAUUUCUUGGGUUUAAAGGGUGCGUAGGUGGAUUGUUAAGUCAGUUGUGAAAGUUUGGGGCUCAACCGUAGAAUUGCAGUUGAAACUGGGAGUCUUGAGUGCAGUAGAGGUAGGCGGAAUUCGUGGUGUAGCGGUGAAAUGCUUAGAUAUCACGAAGAACUCCGAUUGCGAAGGCAGUUCACUGGACUGCAACUGACACUGAGGCACGAAAGUGUGGGUAUCAAACAGGAUUAGAUACCCGGGUAGUC